RNAcentral lists this ribosomal RNA (253 nucleotides) under uncultured bacterium. RNAcentral describes it as "partial 16S ribosomal RNA". It matches the Rfam family "Bacterial small subunit ribosomal RNA", at positions 524 to 776 of the family's 1533-position model. The record is from RNAcentral.
UACAGAGGGUGCGAGCGUUAAUCGGAUUUACUGGGCGUAAAGGGUGCGUAGGUGGUUAUAUUAGUGUGAUGUGAAAGCCCUGGGCUUAACCUAGGAAGAGCAUUGCAAACGGUACAACUAGAGUAUAAGAGAGGGUGGUGGAAUUUCCGGUGUAGCGGUGAAAUGCGUAGAGAUCGGAAGGAACGUCAAUGGCGAAGGCAGCCACCUGGCUUAAUACUGACACUGAAGCACGAAAGCGUGGGGAGCGAACAGG